CUCUUCGUAGCUCAGAUGGUAGAGCAACUGACUCUUAAUCAGUGGGUCGUGGGUUCGAUUCCCUCCGAGGAGA
Molecule: transfer RNA, 73 nt
Filed under: Bacteroidetes bacterium CG2_30_32_10
Lineage: Bacteria; Pseudomonadati; Bacteroidota
Description: tRNA-Lys
Rfam family: tRNA
About the family: Transfer RNA (tRNA) molecules are approximately 80 nucleotides in length. Their secondary structure includes four short double-helical elements and three loops (D, anti-codon, and T loops). Further hydrogen bonds mediate the characteristic L-shaped molecular structure. tRNAs have two regions of fundamental functional importance: the anti-codon, which is responsible for specific mRNA codon recognition, and the 3' end, to which the tRNAs corresponding amino acid is attached (by aminoacyl-tRNA synthetases). tRNAs cope with the degeneracy of the genetic code in two manners: having more than one tRNA (with a specific anti-codon) for a particular amino acid; and 'wobble' base-pairing, i.e. permitting non-standard base-pairing at the 3rd anti-codon position.
Source: RNAcentral